GCCGCGUGCUGGCGAAAGCCCGCUACAGCGUCGUCGCUUCGGCGGCGGGCGAGGGGGAACUGCGCAUCACGCCGCUGCUCGGUUUCGGCGCGCGCGACA
RNAcentral lists this transfer RNA (99 nucleotides) under Candidatus Accumulibacter sp. BA-94. RNAcentral describes it as "tRNA-OTHER". The record is from RNAcentral. Lineage: Bacteria; Pseudomonadati; Pseudomonadota; Betaproteobacteria.